UCAGGCCUAACACAUGCAAGUCGAACGGUAACAGGUUAAGCUGACGAGUGGCGAACGGGUGAGUAAUGUAUCGGAACGUGCCCAGUCGUGGGGGAUAACUGCUCGAAAGAGCAGCUAAUACCGCAUACGACCUGAGGGUGAAAGCGGGGGAUCGCAAGACCUCGCGCGAUUGGAGCGGCCGAUAUCAGAUUAGGUAGUUGGUGGGGUAAAGGCCCACCAAGCCAACGAUCUGUAGCUGGUCUGAGAGGACGACCAGCCACACUGGGA
Molecule: ribosomal RNA, 267 nt
Filed under: uncultured bacterium
Lineage: Bacteria
Description: partial 16S ribosomal RNA
Rfam family: Bacterial small subunit ribosomal RNA
Source: RNAcentral